RNAcentral lists this ribosomal RNA (301 nucleotides) under uncultured bacterium. RNAcentral's name for it is "partial 16S ribosomal RNA". It matches the Rfam family "Bacterial small subunit ribosomal RNA", at positions 509 to 807 of the family's 1533-position model. The record is from RNAcentral.
CAGUAGCCGCGGGAAUACGAAGGGGGCUAGCGUUGUUCGGAUUUACUGGGCGUAAAGGGUGCGUAGGCGGACUGAUAAGUCAGGGGUGAAAUCCCAAGGCUCAACCUUGGAACUGCCUUUGAUACUGUUAGUCUUGAGUUCGAGAGAGGUGAGCGGAACUGCGAGUGUAGAGGUGAAAUUCGUAGAUAUUCGCAAGAACACCAGUGGCGAAGGCGGCUCACUGGCUCGAAACUGACGCUGAGGCACGAAAGCGUGGGGAGCAAACAGGAUUAGAUACCCCAGUAGUCCCUGUCUCUUAUAC